This 337-nucleotide unclassified non-coding RNA is filed under the name soil metagenome. RNAcentral's name for it is "partial contains 5.8S ribosomal RNA, internal transcribed spacer 2, and large subunit ribosomal RNA". The stretch from base 1 to 120 matches the Rfam family "5.8S ribosomal RNA", at positions 35 to 154 of the family's 154-position model. The record is from RNAcentral.
GAUGAAGAACGUAGCGAAAUGCGAUAAGUAAUGUGAAUUGCAGAAUUCAGUGAAUCAUCGAAUCUUUGAACGCACAUUGCGCCCGCCAGUAUUCUGGCGGGCAUGCCUGUUCGAGCGUCAUUUCAACCAUCAAGCCCCCCGGCUUGUGUUGGGGACCUGCGGCUGCCGCAGGCCCUGAAAAGCAGUGGCGGGCUCGCUGUCACACCGAGCGUAGUAGAUCUCAUCUCGCUCAGGGCGUGCUGCGGGUUCCGGCCGUUAAAAAGCCUUUUUUACCCAAGGUUGACCUCGGAUCAGGUAGGAAGACCCGCUGAACUUAAGCAUAUCAAUAAGCGGAGGA